GUAGGGGGCGAACGUUUGUCCGGAUUUAUUGGGCGUAAAGAGCUCGUAGGCGGCUCAGCAAGUCGGCCGUGAAAGCCCGGGGCUCAACCCCGGGACGCCGGUCGAAACUGCUGUGGCUAGGGUCCGGUAGAGGAGAGUGGAAUUCCCGGUGUAGCGGUGAAAUGCGCAGAUAUCGGGAGGAACACCAGUAGCGAAGGCGGCUCUCUGGGCCGGUACCGACGCUGAGGAGCGAAAGCUAGGGGAGCAAACAGGAUUAGAUACCCUGGGUAGUCCUAGCCGUAAACGUUGGGCACUAGGUGUGGCGGACUCAUUGACGUCCCGCCCGUGUCGUAGCUAACGCAUUAAGUGCCCCGCCUGGGGAGUACGGUCGCAAGGCUA
This 378-nucleotide ribosomal RNA is filed under the name uncultured organism. RNAcentral's name for it is "partial 16S ribosomal RNA". It matches the Rfam family "Bacterial small subunit ribosomal RNA", at positions 527 to 896 of the family's 1533-position model. The record is from RNAcentral.